This is a long non-coding RNA of Harpegnathos saltator (Jerdon's jumping ant), 595 nucleotides long. RefSeq lists it as uncharacterized. Lineage: Eukaryota; Metazoa; Arthropoda; Insecta; Hymenoptera; Formicidae. The record is from RefSeq and is a predicted model, not a curated record. The transcript has 3 exons.
GGGAACUACAAUACUACAUCCACUUUCUGGCGGUUUCGGUGGUAAAAUCUGCAUGUGGUGGAAAUCCGUGCUACAUCCACUUUCUGGCGGUUUAUGUCCGUGUUACAAUCACAGUUCACACAGCAAUCUCUAUGCCAGACUUUGCUCGAUGAUCUGAAAAAAUGGCGGGAGGACGGGAGCAGAAAAAUAAAAGGUGUCCGGUAAUUAGCUGCCAAGCCGAAGUGUGAAGAAAUAUGACGAAUGAGCGCGCGCUGAGAUGGAUGAUCGCAGAAGCGUCGCAGCCUCUCGGGUUACAACGCGUCCCAGUCAAAAAGAUUUAGAUACUUAACGUGGUAAUACAUAAAUUUCACUUUUAUGGAAGUCCAUGAAAUUAGACAGCUCUCCUUGCUCACUAUCGAUAGGCCGAUUAUUCGUUUUUGGAAGAAAAAGAAAAACAUUCCAGUUUUCUGAAUUAAUCAAUAGUCAUAAUAAACAUGUAGCUUGAAACUUUAUAGUUAAUCGAGAACUUCGAAGUAUUACUAAUACAUUGAUAGUAUGUUCACUGAAAUCUUAAUGGUCAGGUUGUUUACUCAAAGCCCAAUAAAUAAGUGUGUGU